Molecule: ribosomal RNA, 252 nt
Filed under: uncultured bacterium
Lineage: Bacteria
Description: partial 16S ribosomal RNA
Rfam family: Bacterial small subunit ribosomal RNA
Source: RNAcentral
UACGAAGGGUGCAAGCGUUACUCGGAAUUACUGGGCGUAAAGCGUGCGUAGGUGGUUUGUUAAGUCUGAUGUGAAAGCCCUGGGCUCAACCUGGGAACUGCAUUGGAAACUGGCUGACUAGAGUGCGGUAGAGGGGUGUGGAAUUCCCGGUGUAGCAGUGAAAUGCGUAGAUAUCGGGAGGAACACCGGUGGCGAAGGCGGUUUUCUGGCCUUACCUGACGCUGAGACGCGAAAGCGUGGGGAGCGAACCGG